Acanthosepion pharaonis is the source of this 100-nucleotide non-coding RNA. The record is from the annotation of a GenBank genome assembly. NCBI's taxonomy places the organism in Eukaryota, Metazoa, Mollusca, Cephalopoda, Sepiida, Sepiidae.
UGCUGAAACACCAACUCCAAUACAAUCACCAAAGUUAAGCAACAUUAAGCCUGGUCAGUACCUAGAUGGGUGAGCACUUGGGAAUUCCAGGUGCUGUAAG